UCAGUAACAUUCUGAUAUGUACUGCAGUAACAUUCUGAUAUGUACUGCAGUAACAUUCUGAUAUGUACUGCAGUAACAUUCUGAUAUGUACUGCAGUAACAUUCUGAUAUGUACUGCAGUAACAUUCUGAUAUGUACUGUCAGUAACAUUCUGAUAUGUACUGCAGUAACAUUCUGAUAUGUACUGCAGAACAUUCUGAUAUGUACUGCAGUAACAUUCUGAUAUGUACUGCAGUAACAUUCUGAUAUGUACUGUAGUAACAUUCUGAUAUGUACUGUCAGUAACAUUCUGAUAUGUACUGUCAUAACAUUCUGAUAUGUACUGCAGUAACAGCAUGUUAUAAUCCUAUCAGACACAGAAGGAACAUUCUGAUAUGUACUGCAGUAACAUUCUGAUAUGUACUGCAGUAACAUUCUGAUAUGUACUGCAGUAACAUUCUGAUAUGUACUGUCAGUAACAUUCUGAUAUGUACUGCAGUAACAUUCUGAUAUGUACUGCAGUAACAUUCUGAUAUGUACUGUCAGUAAUAUUCUGAUAUGUACUGCAGUAACAUUCUGAUAUGUACUGUCAGUAACAUUCUGAUAUGUACUGUCAGUAACAUUCUGAUAUGUACUGCAGUAACAUUCUGAUAUGUACUGCAGUAACAUUCUGAUAUGUACUC
Oncorhynchus tshawytscha (Chinook salmon) is the source of this 661-nucleotide long non-coding RNA. NCBI's taxonomy places the organism in Eukaryota, Metazoa, Chordata, Actinopteri, Salmoniformes, Salmonidae. The record is from Ensembl.